Molecule: ribosomal RNA, 465 nt
Filed under: Vreelandella stevensii
Lineage: Bacteria; Pseudomonadati; Pseudomonadota; Gammaproteobacteria; Oceanospirillales; Halomonadaceae
Description: partial 16S ribosomal RNA
Rfam family: Bacterial small subunit ribosomal RNA
Source: RNAcentral
CCUACGGGAGGCAGCAGUGGGGAAUAUUGGACAAUGGGGGCAACCCUGAUCCAGCCAUGCCGCGUGUGUGAAGAAGGCCCGCGGGUUGUAAAGCACUUUCAGUGAGGAAGAACGCCUGGUGGUUAAUACCCAUCAGGAAAGACAUCACUCACAGAAGAAGCACCGGCUAACUCCGUGCCAGCAGCCGCGGUAAUACGGAGGGUGCGAGCGUUAAUCGGAAUUACUGGGCGUAAAGCGCGCGUAGGUGGCUUGAUAAGCCGGUUGUGAAAGCCCCGGGCUCAACCUGGGAACGGCAGCCGGAACUGUCAAGCUAGAGUGCAGGAGAGGAAGGUAGAAUUCCCGGUGUAGCGGUGAAAGGCGUAGAGAUCGGGAGGAAUACCAGUGGCGAAGGCGGCCUUCUGGACUGACACUGACACUGAGGUGCGAAAGCGUGGGUAGCAAACAGGAUUAGAUACCCCUGUAGUA